AUGCUGUUGGGGAUGGGGACCACAUGUCAAGAAGUGCAUGGGCUUUUCAGCUGCAAACUCCCAAGGGCCAAAGACAGGGGCUUUUUAUCUCCAGAAGCUCAAGGACACAGCCGACCUCCCUUUUCUCUUUUUUUCUUUUUGCAGUCCCACUCUAGAUGUCAUGGAGAGGCUGAGAUGGCCAUGAGAUGGAUAUUAGAUCAGAGGACUCAGAAGUACUCAAAUCUUUCCCAGCCUCCCAGCCCCUCAGAGAAAAAGAAGUCUAACAUACAGGCCAUUGGAGCCCUGUGUUGCUGCCAUGUCUUUUAGGGCCAGCGUGAAUGUCCUGCAAUGCCUGAUGGAGCAGCUCAAGCUGGAUGCCAGUGUGGAGAGUAUCAAGGCCUCACAGGCACCUGCAGAGCUUCAACAGUACUGCACGUAAAAUGCCUGCAAGGAUGCCCUGCUGGUUAGGUGUUCCAGCUGAAAGCAACACUUUCUGGGAGCUCAGAUCCUGUGCUUUAUUCUAAAGGCUGGGAAGAAGUUUCCUGAGGAAUGCUUUUAAGCAUAAAGUGAUGGAUGACUGCUUCUAAGUCUCAAGAAAACACUUUUUUCCAGCCAAAUGACUCUUAGAUAUUUCGGGCCUGUCCUGUGGCCUGGCCCUAUAGCCAAAAUUCUACAGAAAUUGAUGAGUUUCUACUCGGAUAAGAGAACUGAGUGAAAGAAUGGACUUUAGAUAAUAAUGGCCUGAUUCUUUUGGUAAAGUGCUUCUAUAUUUAAGACAAACAAAAAUGUUACCACCAAAUAUACUUUUUUCAUGAGCAAAUUACUAGUGUUUCUAUAUCUGGAAUAUCAUGUUUGUUUUAUUGACUAGAUGUUUACAGUUUGGGAAGGAAAACAUUUUUGUUAAAAAAUUUGUAUUUUGUUAAUUUGUUGUUCCUAAGAUUUUUAUACCAUAACAAAACUUGUUAUUUUCUCAUGAAUUUAACAGUUUCUAAAUGAAGACAAGCAAGUAUAAAACUGGGAGAAGAAUAAGUUUUAUUGAUCAAAUGAUGUCUUGAUUUUUCUAAAUGAGAAGAUUAUUUUAUUUGUAACACUAAACAUGGGAGCUGUUUCUUAGCAAACAUAUUUGUAAAGAUUCGGUCUUUAUCUUAAGUUCCUCUACUUUAUUGUCGUGGUUGUAUCUUAAAAAAAGGUACAUCAUUUCAUGUCUUAAAAAAUGUUUACAUGUGAUCUUCUGAACAUUGCAAAUGAUUAAAAACAAAAUAAUGGAAAAUACUACAACCUAAAUUCUUAAUGUCACAAGUGUUUUACUUUGAUGAUGUGCUUUGAUUUAAUUUGGGACACUUAAAAAGAUUUUUUUAACGUUUUUAUUUUUGAGAGAGAGAGAGACAGAGAGAGAGAAAAAGCAUGACUGGGGGAGGGGAAGAGAGAGAGGGAGACACAGAAUCUGAAACAGGCUCCAAGCUCUGACCUGUCAGCACAGAGCCCAACACAGGGCUUGAACCCACUGCCAACCACGAGAUCAUGACCUGAGACGAAGUCAGACGCUCAACUGACUGAGCCAUCCAGGUGCCCCAAUUUGGGACACCUUUAAAAGAUACUUUGUUUUUGUAGUAAUCUUUAAUGAGCUUGGAAAUAAAAUUCUGCUUAAUUAAUCA
RNAcentral lists this long non-coding RNA (1634 nucleotides) under Felis catus (domestic cat). Its description in RNAcentral is "lncRNA (ENSFCAG00000053581.1)". Lineage: Eukaryota; Metazoa; Chordata; Mammalia; Carnivora; Felidae. The record is from RNAcentral.